RNAcentral lists this ribosomal RNA (641 nucleotides) under Coolia sp. RCC1518. RNAcentral describes it as "eukaryotic LSU rRNA". It matches the Rfam family "Eukaryotic large subunit ribosomal RNA", at positions 38 to 652 of the family's 3401-position model. The record is from RNAcentral. Lineage: Eukaryota; Dinophyceae; Peridiniales; Ostreopsidaceae.
ACAUAUAAGUAAGUGGGUGGAAGAAAACAUAAACAUGAUUCUUUAAGUAAUGGCGAAUGAACAAAGACAUAGUCAUUUUGAAAAUUGUGGUCCGUGAUCAUGAAUUGUAAUAUUCAAAAUGCAUUGCUAACAAAAUUGCAUAUGUUAGUUUAUUGGAAAGAACAUUACAAAGGGUGAAAAUCCCAUGGUGUCAUGUGUAUGUUUUGUGUACAGUGUGCAUUUCAUGAUUCACAUUCAUUGACAAUUGAAUGUAAAGCGAAUGGUAAACUUCAUUUAAACAUAAAUAUGUUGUUGAAAACUUAUAUCGAACAAAUACCAUGAGGGAAAUGUGAAAAGGAUUUUGAAAAGAAAAUUAAAAGAGCUUACAAUUGCUGGAUUGAUAAGCAAACAAAACACACAUGUGUAUGUGCAAGAUUGUUGUCAUGUUGUGCAAUUCAUGCAAAUUAACAUUGCUUUGGUUUUUGUGUAAUUUUGUCAGCUUUGGAAUUGAGAAUGAUUUUUUUGAGUGUGAAUGGAUUGUUGUUUGUUAACAAAGGAAUGCACUUUCAAAAUCAUUGUUUGAUUUGUCAAUCAAGUUUGUGGCGUGUGUUGUGUGUCAAAUUUAAUUAUAUAAUUCACAAAACACAUGAAGUUUGAGCUAU